UUGUUUCUCCUACACUGCAACUCCAUGUUUUUGAAGUCCCCAAAUUUAUAGUAUCAUUCUUAUCCUCUACCAUCACCGAGUGAAAGAAGUGCCUAACUCAUAUGUAUGGCAGUUUAAUGGGACUUUCUGUUGUUUCCAGUUUGGGGCUACAAAGUUUUGUAACAGGUCCUUGUGUCUGGCAGUGUGUGUUUUCCAGAUUUAUUAUCUUUCUUCAAGAUUGGUUUGGCCUCUCUUAGGUGCUUAUAUUUCCAAAUACAUUUUAAAGGUAUUAGUUUGUCAAUUUCCCAAAACAUUGGGCUGGAAUUUCUGUCAGGGUGACAUUAAAUUUGUAAGUCAGUUUGGAAAGAACUGAAUCUUGACACCUUGAGUCUUUCCAUUCCUCAAUAUAAUUAUCCUUCCAAUUUAUUUGGGAUUUCUUUUAUUUUCCCAGGAAUGUUGUGAUUUUGUUGUCAUGGCUUUCAAGUCUUUGGUUUUCCCUAGAUAAUUAAUAUUCUUGUUGUGGAACAUAAUCAGUUUUUAUCAUUCUGAUGAUGUUAAUCUGUCAACUUUGCUAAUUUUACUAAUCACUGUUCAUAAUUUAUUUCUGGAUUCAUUGUAAUUUCUGUGUACAUUAUAUGUAUCUGGGUUAAUAUUGUUUUAUUUCUUAUUUUCCAUUUCUCAUGGGCUUAAUGCCUCUUUAUUGCAUUCAUUAUUGCAUUGGCUAGAAUUUCUAGGAGAGUGUUGAAUAGAAUUGGUGACAGUGGGGAUCCUUGUUUUUCAUUUCUAAUCUGCAGAAAGCAGUGGAAGUUUUCCAUUUCAAUAUCGAGAAUGAUGCUUGAAGUAGAUUUUGGUAGUUUUUCUUGUUAUAAGAUUAGAGAAGUUUGCUGUCUCAUAUAUAUAUAUGUCAUCAUUGUGUAUAAAAUCUUAUCAAUCAAUUCUGGGCAUCUAUUUAUACAAUUGUGUGUUAGUCCAUUUCCAUUGCUAUAAAGGAAUAUCUUUGGCUGGGUAAUUUAUUUAAAAAGAGUUUUACUUUGGCUCAUGGUUCUGCAGGCUGUACAAGAGGCAUAAUGGGAGCAGGCAUCUCCUCCUAGUGAGGACUUCAGGUAGCUUUCAAUCACGGAAGAAGGUGAAGGGGAAGCAAGCGUGUCACAUGGCAAGAGAGGGUGUAAGGGAAAAAGGGGUAGAAGUAACUUUAAACAACCAGCUUGUGUGUGAACUAACAGAAUAUGGACUCACUUAUUAUCAUGGGAAGUGCCUUAAGCCACUUAUGAAGAAUUCAUCCCCAUGUCCUAAAUACCUCCCACCAGACCCCACCUACAACAUUGGGAAUCACAAUGAGAUUUGAAGGGGACAAAUAUCCAUUCAACAUCAGAUUACAUAUAUUUGGCUUACAUUCCUCACUAAAUAAAAAUAAGUAUCCACAUAAAGAUGAACUGACCUUCUUCAUAUUGUUUAGGACUUCAGUGUUUACAUUCACAAGAGAUUUAGUUUAUAAUUUUCUUUCCCAGAAUUUUCAAGAUUUUUGAUAUUAAGAUUAUACCAGCCUUAUAAAACUAGGCGAAAAAAGUUUCCUAAUGCGAGUCUGUUUUUAUUGCCGUUCCCUCUCCCCACUUUUCUUCUUGUGAUAACUUAGUUGUAUCUUUGAAAUGUCUGAUAAAUUUUGGUUAAGUACCAGAUGUUAUAUAUAAGAAAUUACAGAAUUGCAAAGGAAGUUUAUAUUCUUUAAAGAAAUAUUCAUUCCUCUCCCAUAGGCAGUCAUAAUGACAUAACACCUGUUGUCAUGAUUCAGAACUGGAUGUAAUGCAAAGACAGCCAAAAAUUGAGUGUCAGUGUUAGCUUAGCUCUCUGAGUUUCUCCUACCUCUGGAACCUUGAGACCAAUUUUUAUCUCAGUGGUUUUACAAUGCGUUCUAUCACAUGGUUUCUGUAUUUAUCCAGACACUCCAGUUGCCAUCUCAAACCUACUUUUUCCAAGUAAAACCAUAGUCUCCAAUGCACUGCAAUAUUAUUAGUGAAAUAAAAAAUAAUAUAACUGAAACUUGUAUUUUCAAGGGGAAAAAGCAAUGAGAUUGGUAAGGUUGCAAUUACUAAUGUCAUCUUUUGAAGAAGACAGAAUUGAUAAUUUACUGAGAGAUUAUGCGGCUUACCCUAAUGGUCACUGAUUUAAUACAAGAAAAAAUACUUCAAUGCACUCUGUCUUCACAAACACAGGAGGUAACCAGAGAUGAUUUUUGUUUCUCAAAAUUAGGGUCUGAGGGUAAUAGUAAUGAAACUUACUUCUUCUCCUAUAACUAAUUAAAUGAGAAAUAUACUGAAGAAUCAGGCAGGAGUUGCCAGUCUCCCCAGUUCACUGCAUCAGCUUUGGUGACCUGCUGGAGGGGAAAUGCUGCAUCUGAUGAGCUUCUUCACUCACCCCCAUGCAGGGCAACUCAUGCUGUGUCUGGUGUCUUUUGAGCCCUGAGAAGCCAGAGCCCAAGGGAAUUACCCAUUGAAUCCCUUCUUCAUGGAAUAGCCCAGUACAGAAAAAUGCAACACUGUGUGGCCAAUUCUACCCUCUUUACAAAUCAGAUAUAUGUGUUCUUCUGUCACAGGCUGGAUCCAUUUAUCUAGCUGGAGAUAGUAGUCUGAGACAGGAGUUGGCAAACUUUCUGUAAUGGGUCAGAUAGUAAAUAUUUUAGACUUUUCCGGCCAUGUGGUUUCUGUUGCAAUUUUUGACAUCUGCUAUUGUAGCAUGAAAGCAGUCAUAAACAAUCUGCAAAUGGAUGAGGAUUGAUAUGUUCCAAUUUUUAUAGAAACAAAUGUAAAUUUCCCAUAAAAUGUUUGUUUCAAAAAUAUUAUUUCUUAUUUGCAUUUGUUCAAUGUAAAUACUUUUAGCUCACAUACUAUACAAAAACAGGUGGCAGGAUGGAUUUGUGCAGGGAGUAUUUUUUCUUGAUGCCUAAUAAAAGAAAUUCCUGUCCAGCAGAAUUUUCUGCAAAGAUGUGCGAUUGAUUUGUGCUUUUGUGUCCUAUUUAAAAAAUAUUUGUCAGCACAAGACUCCAAAGACUGGCUUUUAACUUUCCCAGAAUUUUUUUGUUUUAGCUCUUAUAUUUAGAACAAUGACAUAUUUCAAAUUAAUUUUUAUUCAUAAUAUGAAGUAAUAGUGGCCAUGCUUCAAUAUCUAUAAAUUUCUACUUAUUCGAGUAACAUUUGUAGAAAUAAAUCUGCGUUGGCAUCUUAAUAACAUUUUAAUAUAGUACUUGUUUAGAAACAUUCAAGGGAAUAUUUUUAAAAAACAAAAUUAUAGACUAUUUAUAUAGAAAUUUAGGGGGUAGAAUUUUUCCUCACCUUUGCAUUAUAACAUUUUUUUAAAUAAAUAACAUUACACACACAUAUGUGUAUGUACAUAUGGCAGUGUGUAUAUAUAUCUACUUUGAUAUCUGUCCAUCCAUCUAUUUAUGCCUCAAUACUUGAGUAUGUAUAGCACAAUAACAAUGGUUUUCUCCUACAUGAUAAUAAUAGCAUUCAUACUGUGGAGUUAUUAGUAAAACAUUAUUAUUUACUAUACAGCUUAUAUUUAAAAUGUCCCAAUUUUUAAAGAAUAUUUUAAUCACUCUUUUCUUUCAAUUCACUCUCCAGUCAAGAAGUAGGCACAUAAUUUCGGUAUCCUGAUAUUUUCAUCUCCUGUAAUCAAGAAGAGUCCAUUUCCUCUGUUUCCUUUCAGUAUGUUGAUCUCUGUGAAGAGCUGAAGUCAUUAGUCAUUUAAAUUUUCCUGGGGCUCAUUUUGUAUGAUUGUUUUCUAGAUAUUAUAUUCCAGUUAUGACUUUGGCAAGAAAGCUACAUAGUACUUUGAAUAUCCCACUGAAUCACAGUGGUGAGGCAGGGGCACAUAAUGUCACAUAUGCCAUUGUUGGGUUGUGGUAAGAUUCUCACCUAAUAAGUUGGAAUCUGCCAGAUCUCUCCAUUGAAGGGGUUCUGCUUUUUAUGUGUAAAUGAUGAAAAUCUAUGGCAUGGUACUGUAAGACUGAACACCCUGCUUCCCAAAUUACACAUCCAAUGGUUUUAUCUUUCAUUGCCUGACCUGAUGAUCUUGACCUGAAUGGUUACAAAUAGGUGAUUUUUCUAAUUUCAUCAUUCCUUCUGUAUUUUUAAGCUAGGAUAAAUCUGUAAUGAAUAUCUCUCCCAUAUCUUUAAAUGAAGACAAACAAACUGCAUGACAAUGACAAGAGCUCAAUAGUUUUGUCCUUGCCACUACACUUGUUACCAUCCCAGAAGACGUCAUUUGAAACUCAAUCAUGUGUUUAUUCACAAAUGCCCUGUGAACAGAUACUGUGGCCAUUUCCCAUGUCAACAAAGACUUCAACUUUAAGUCAUAAUCUACACAUAAGGUUGGUGAAAACUGAAAUGAUGGAAUAGGGCAGCAAGUGUGGACAGCCACUAGUGUCCAAGCUUGAUGAAAAGGAGAACAGACUCAGAAGGUUGCACCCAAAUAUCCAAGUACUCUGGACUUCAAAUGUGAUUUCAGGGCACUUUAGCAAGUUUAUUUUCUCUGGUCUUAAGCUCAUGC
Molecule: non-coding RNA, 4524 nt
Organism: Macaca mulatta (Rhesus monkey)
Lineage: Eukaryota; Metazoa; Chordata; Mammalia; Primates; Cercopithecidae
Source: RefSeq, a predicted model, not a curated record